AGAGUUUGAUCCUGGCUCAGAUUGAACGCUGGCGGCAGGCCUAACACAUGCAAGUCGAGCGGUAGCACAGAGAGCUUGCUCUCGGGUGACGAGCGGCGGACGGGUGAGUAAUGUCUGGGAAACUGCCUGAUGGAGGGGGAUAACUACUGGAAACGGUAGCUAAUACCGCAUAACGUCGCAAGACCAAAGUGGGGGACCUUCGGGCCUCAUGCCAUCAGAUGUGCCCAGAUGGGAUUAGCUAGUAGGUGGGGUAACGGCUCACCUAGGCGACGAUCCCUAGCUGGUCUGAGAGGAUGACCAGCCACACUGGAACUGAGACACGGUCCAGACUCCUACGGGAGGCAGCAGUGGGGAAUAUUGCACAAUGGGCGCAAGCCUGAUGCAGCCAUGCCGCGUGUGUGAAGAAGGCCUUCGGGUUGUAAAGCACUUUCAGCGGGGAGGAAGGCGGUGAGGUUAAUAACCUCAUCGAUUGACGUUACCCGCAGAAGAAGCACCGGCUAACUCCGUGCCAGCAGCCGCGGUAAUACGGAGGGUGCAAGCGUUAAUCGGAAUUACUGGGCGUAAAGCGCACGCAGGCGGUCUGUCAAGUCGGAUGUGAAAUCCCCGGGCUCAACCUGGGAACUGCAUUCGAAACUGGCAGGCUAGAGUCUUGUAGAGGGGGGUAGAAUUCCAGGUGUAGCGGUGAAAUGCGUAGAGAUCUGGAGGAAUACCGGUGGCGAAAGGCGGCCCCCUGGACAAAGACUGACGCUCAGUGCGAAAGCGUGGGGAGCAAACAGGAUUAGAUACCCUGGUAGUCCACGCCGUAAACGAUGUCGACUUGGAGGUUGUGCCCUUGAGGCGUGGCUUCCGGAGCUAACGCGUUAAGUCGACCGCCUGGGGAGUACGGCCGCAAGGUUAAAACUCAAAUGAAUUGACGGGGGCCCGCACAAGCGGUGGAGCAUGUGGUUUAAUUCGAUGCAACGCGAAGAACCUUACCUACUCUUGACAUCCAGAGAACUUAGCAGGGAUGCUUUGGUGCCUUCGGGAACUCUGAGACAGGUGCUGCAUGGCUGUCGUCAGCUCGUGUUGUGAAAUGUUGGGUUAAGUCCCGCAACGAGCGCAACCCUUAUCCUUUGUUGCCAGCGGUUCGGCCGGGAACUCAAAGGAGACUGCCAGUGAUAAACUGGAGGAAGGUGGGGAUGACGUCAAGUCAUCAUGGCCCUUACGAGUAGGGCUACACACGUGCUACAAUGGCGCAUACAAAGAGAAGCGACCUCGCGAGAGCAAGCGGACCUCAUAAAGUGCGUCGUAGUCCGGAUUGGAGUCUGCAACUCGACUCCAUGAAGUCGGAAUCGCUAGUAAUCGUAGAUCAGAAUGCUACGGUGAAUACGUUCCCGGGCCUUGUACACACCGCCCGUCACACCAUGGGAGUGGGUUGCAAAAGAAGUAGGUAGCUUAACCUUCGGGAGGGCGCUUACCACUUUGUGAUUCAUGACUGGGGUGAAGUCGUAACAAGGUAACC
This 1501-nucleotide ribosomal RNA is filed under the name uncultured Klebsiella sp. RNAcentral describes it as "bacterial SSU rRNA". It matches the Rfam family "Bacterial small subunit ribosomal RNA". Lineage: Bacteria; Pseudomonadati; Pseudomonadota; Gammaproteobacteria; Enterobacterales; Enterobacteriaceae. The record is from RNAcentral.